RNAcentral lists this transfer RNA (67 nucleotides) under Graphocephala sp. EMHAU-2015-Zz052315. RNAcentral describes it as "tRNA-Asn". Lineage: Eukaryota; Metazoa; Arthropoda; Insecta; Hemiptera; Cicadellidae. The record is from RNAcentral.
UUAAUUGAAACCAAAAUUGAGGUAACUUAUUGUUAAUAAGAAAAUUGAAUUUAAUAUUCCAAUUAAA